GAUGAACGCUGGCGGCGUGCCUAAUACAUGCAAGUCGAGCGAACGGACGAGAAGCUUGCUUCUCUGAUGUUAGCGGCGGACGGGUGAGUAACACGUGGAUAACCUACCUAUAAGACUGGGAUAACUUCGGGAAACCAGAGCUAAUACCGGAUAAUAUUUUGAACCGCAUGGUUCAAAAGUGAAAGACGGUCUUGCUGUCACUUAUAGAUGGAUCCGCGCUGCAUUAGCUAGUUGGUAAGGUAACGGCUUACCAAGGCAACGAUGCAUAGCCGACCUGAGAGGGUGAUCGGCCACACUGGAACUGAGACACGGUCCAGACUCCUACGGGAGGCAGCAGUAGGGAAUCUUCCGCAAUGGGCGAAAGCCUGACGGAGCAACGCCGCGUGAGUGAUGAAGGUCUUCGGAUCGUAAAACUCUGUUAUUAGGGAAGAACAUAUGUGUAAGUAACUGUGCACAUCUUGACGGUACCUAAUCAGAAAGCCACGGCUAACUACGUGCCAGCAGCCGCGGUAAUACGUAGGUGGCAAGCGUUAUCCGGAAUUAUUGGGCGUAAAGCGCGCGUAGGCGGUUUUUUAAGUCUGAUGUGAAAGCCCACGGCUCAACCGUGGAGGGUCAUUGGAAACUGGAAAACUUGAGUGCAGAAGAGGAAAGUGGAAUUCCAUGUGUAGCGGUGAAAUGCGCAGAGAUAUGGAGGAACACCAGUGGCGAAGGCGACUUUCUGGUCUGUAACUGACGCUGAUGUGCGAAAGCGUGGGGAUCAAACAGGAUUAGAUACCCUGGUAGUCCACGCCGUAAACGAUGAGUGCUAAGUGUUAGGGGGUUUCCGCCCCUUAGCGCUGCAGCUAACGCAUUAAGCACUCCGCCUGGGGAGUACGACCGCAAGGUUGAAACUCAAAGGAAUUGACGGGGACCCGCACAAGCGGUGGAGCAUGUGGUUUAAUUCGAAGCAACGCGAAGAACCUUACCAAAUCUUGACAUCCUUUGACAACUCUAGAGAUAGAGCCUUCCCCUUCGGGGGACAAAGUGACAGGUGGUGCAUGGUUGUCGUCAGCUCGUGUCGUGAGAUGUUGGGUUAAGUCCCGCAACGAGCGCAACCCUUAAGCUUAGUUGCCAUCAUUAAGUUGGGCACUCUAAGUUGACUGCCGGUGACAAACCGGAGGAAGGUGGGGAUGACGUCAAAUCAUCAUGCCCCUUAUGAUUUGGGCUACACACGUGCUACAAUGGACAAUACAAAGGGCAGCGAAACCGCGAGGUCAAGCAAAUCCCAUAAAGUUGUUCUCAGUUCGGAUUGUAGUCUGCAACUCGACUACAUGAAGCUGGAAUCGCUAGUAAUCGUAGAUCAGCAUGCUACGGUGAAUACGUUCCCGGGUCU
This 1372-nucleotide ribosomal RNA is filed under the name uncultured bacterium. RNAcentral describes it as "bacterial SSU rRNA". It matches the Rfam family "Bacterial small subunit ribosomal RNA", at positions 28 to 1381 of the family's 1533-position model. The record is from RNAcentral.